AGGAGUAAGUAGGAUUACAUGAUCCUCUCUUUCCAUUCAAUGGGGUGCUCUUCAUGGCAUGUAGGGAUGUCAUUGUGAGGUCCCAUGCAAAAGAAAAUAAAAAGAGAAAACUUACUUUCUUACAAAACUCUAGAUCUUGAAAUCCUAGGUGUUGUUGUAUGUGAUACAAGUUGUGAAGAAAUUAGUUACAUCUAAUCUUGAUUAA
RNAcentral lists this long non-coding RNA (205 nucleotides) under Elaeis guineensis (African oil palm). RNAcentral's name for it is "long non-coding RNA (EGUI_LNC056337)". Lineage: Eukaryota; Viridiplantae; Streptophyta; Magnoliopsida; Arecales; Arecaceae. The record is from RNAcentral.